GACGAACGCUGGCGGCGUGCCUAAUACAUGCAAGUCGAACGCAGUUGCGAACGGGUGAGUAAUGCGUAGGGAAUUGCCGCAUGGCGGGGGCUAACUAUUGGAAACGAAAGCUAAUACCGCAUACUAUGAGAUGGACCUGCGUUGUAUUAGGUAGGUGGCGGGGUAAAGGCUCAACAAGGCGACGUUACAUCGCCGACCUGGGCGGGGGAUCUGCCACCCGUGGAUGGAGACACUGCCCAGACUCCUACGGAAGUGAGCAGUAAGGAGUCUUCGGCAAUGGACGGAAGUCUGAUCGAGCAGCGCCGGGUGAGUGAAGAAGGUUGUCGGAUAGUAAAGCUCUGGUGUUAUAGAAGCGUUAACUAACCAGAAAGGGACGGCUAACUCCGUGCCAGCAGCCGCGGUAAUUC
This 407-nucleotide ribosomal RNA is filed under the name uncultured bacterium. RNAcentral describes it as "partial 16S ribosomal RNA". It matches the Rfam family "Bacterial small subunit ribosomal RNA", at positions 28 to 526 of the family's 1533-position model. The record is from RNAcentral.